Nycticebus coucang (slow loris) is the source of this 65-nucleotide small nucleolar RNA. RefSeq annotates it as small nucleolar RNA ZL8. The record is from RefSeq and is a predicted model, not a curated record. NCBI's taxonomy places the organism in Eukaryota, Metazoa, Chordata, Mammalia, Primates, Lorisidae. The transcript has a single exon.
UAAUGAUGACCUGGUUGGACCAGAGUCUGUGAGCUUUCCUCUGAAGAUCUUUGAAACCACCUGAU